UUAUACAAAAUGCCCAUUAGACCACAUUACUCUGUACUCUUACACUUUACCACUAAAUAUAAAUAAAAAGGAGAGUAAGAUGUGUUAAUGUUGCUUCAAGAAUCACAUUUCUCCAUUAAAAAACAUACUUUUGUAGUUCCACAGCACUUAUACUACAAAAGACUACAACUCCCGUUAGGGCGGACCUGUCACGUGACAGCGGCGUGUUGUGUCAUGUGACCUUGACACGGCUCUGUCAGCCCGUUUCCCUUUUUUCGCAGUGCCACAGGCUCGCGACUGAACACACUUAACGCUCUGCUAAACACGCGCACGUUCCACUCGGGUUGUUUCAUGGCUCUGAAACUUUACUCCGGCGCGUGCACACUUCAGUUUCUCUGCCUACCUGGAUUUGUACAACUCUCGCAUGUCAGACUGUGGUAGACUCCCCGGCAGGCCUCUCUCUGUUCACCGUGUGAGCAUCAGUCCUCACGCCGCGGUUGGGUGGGUCCAGCUCGGCCACAGAGGCAGCAUGGGCCCGGUGCACCGCUCAGCCUCAGAUUAAAAACAUAUUUGUGUGUAACUGUUUUAGUUUGGAUGUUACUGCUACUGGAGGUCGGCUGUCACAAUGAACGGCACUCAGCAGAGUGAUACGAAGAGACAGCACCUCCUGGAGAGGCUGCUGGACGCCGUCAAACAGUGCCAAAUCCGUUUUGGAGGAAGAAAGGAGAUUGCCACAGACUCUGACAGCAGGGUGAUCUGUCUGUGUGCCCAGUUUGAAGCGGUGCUGCAGCAUGGCCUGAGGAAGAGCCGAGGCCUGGCUCUCACCGCCGCCGCGCUGAAGCAGGCAGCGGGCUUCAGCACCAAGACUGAAGCAGAGUUGACUUUCUGGUUCUACGUGAAGGAGCAUCUGAACCGGCACGAGCUCCAGCGCUUCUACUCCCUGCGUCACAUCUCCUCCGAGCUGGGCCGGGGUCGAGCCUGGCUGCGCUGCGCCCUCAACGAGCACUCGCUGGAGCGCUACCUGCACACACUGUUGGCUGACCGCCCACGCCUGGGAACUUAUUAUGAAGACUGGGCUUUUAUUCUGGAUGAAGAGAGAGCAAGUAUGCUCCCCACCAUGGCUGCAGGUCUGAACUCCAUCCUGUUCGCCAUCAACAUCGACAACACUGACCUGAACGGCGGGGUGACGCGAGGAGGAGGCUCCUCUGUGAGCGACCUCCUCAAGGAGUCCACGCAGGGCAUCGGCAGCCUGUGGAAAGAGUCGACUCAGGGCGUCAGCAGCCUGCUGCGAGAGAUCAGCACCGCCACGGCUGUGGUGCCCGGCUUCACCCCCAGAGUGGAGGGAGCCUCAGACCCGCUGCCCGUCCUGCCACGCAGCAGCUCUGCUGACUCAGUGCUGAGGAAGGAGCGCCGGAGGAAAAAGAAAAUCACCAACAUCAUUUCCUUUGAUGACGAUUUGGACGGCGGUGCGGAGGAUGAAGAGGAGGGAGAGGAGGACUCCCAGAAGAUGGGCGCGAUGAGGAAGAGCCUCACCGCUCCGGCUCAGGGCAGCGUGGAGGAAGGCGUAGAUCCUCUGGAGCCGGUGUUCUCCCAGUCACCGGCCCAGAACGGCCUCGCUGAACCGGGCAUCGUCAGCUGGGUGGGGUCCCCUCAUCCCUCUCGUACUCCACCCGCUACUCCACCUCCUCUGCCUAACCGUACGAGUAUAGACAACGAGGAGGAGGAGGAGGAGGAGGAGGAAGAGGAGGAGAUGUACAAACGCAGAGCGCAGACCCAGGAGGAGGAGAGGAGCAGCUCUGAUCAGGUGGUGGUCGGCAGCCUGUCCAGCGUCUCCACGUGGAGCCCUCUGCAGCUGAUGAUGACAGAAAACAUCAGCUCGGACGUCCUGAUUCCUCUGAACCCUGCAGACUCUCAGACAGUGAGUCCUGUGGAGGACGCGGCUGCAUUUCCUGCUCAGUGUGAGUCAGCAGGACCGCAGGGAAACUGUGAGAGCAGCAGAUCGAUGCAAACGUUCACUGUGGAGUCCAGUUCACUGACGCAGGCGGCUCCGCUCUCCAGCGUGCUGCCGACACCUGGUCUGCCAGAGUCCAUGACAGUGGUGGAGCUGCGUCAGGCCAUUGUAGCCAUGAUGAACAGGAAGGACGAGCUGGAGGAACAAAACACGUCUCUGCGCAGUCUGCUGGACGGGGAGAUGGAGCACUCGGCAGGCCUGAGGCAGGAGACGGAUGUGCUGAAGAGGAAACUGGCGGAGCUGGAGGAGAGACACGCAGCCAAGGUCCAGGCUCUGGCCAGGGAGAACGAGGUCCUGAAGGUCCAGUUGAAGAAGUAUGUGGGGGCGGUACAGAUGCUGAAGAGAGAGGGGAGCCAAGGCAAUGAUGGUGGCAGAGAUGCACGGUGAGUUGAUAGAGUUUAACGAGCACCUGUACCGUUCCCUCAUGGCCAAAGACCACCUCAUCGUCCAGAUGAGACAGGAACUCAUUGACCUGAGAGGCCCGAUUCCAGGGGAUUUAAGCCAGACCUCCGAUGACCCCAGUCUGUCAGACUUUGAGAC
RNA transcript from Cottoperca gobio, 2530 nucleotides. It is a transcript of the gene named sorting nexin 29, with no coding region annotated. NCBI's taxonomy places the organism in Eukaryota, Metazoa, Chordata, Actinopteri, Perciformes, Bovichtidae. The transcript has 16 exons. The record is from RefSeq and is a predicted model, not a curated record.